This is a non-coding RNA of Thalictrum thalictroides, 91 nucleotides long. The record is from the annotation of a GenBank genome assembly. NCBI's taxonomy places the organism in Eukaryota, Viridiplantae, Streptophyta, Magnoliopsida, Ranunculales, Ranunculaceae.
AGUGCUGUGAUGAGCUGUUAACAUAUAAGAAGAGCUCCUAGGAAAAGCUCUUCGAUGCGAUGUAUUUUGUUACGCUUGGCUUCUGAGCUCU